GUCCUUUCUGUUGACCACAAAACUUGACUCCUACAGGCCUUCUGAGAAGCAUGGAGUAUUUUCCAGAAUUGUCCAUAUAAAGAGAUGUGGCUGAGAUACAGACAACUUACACAUGUCUUUCAAGAACAGUUUGCUGGGUGUUGACCAACAUCCAGGAACCACUAGAAGUGAAUCUCUUCUUGAGUAUUCCAUACUGCUGCCCCUGCUAUUCACUUGGGGUCCCAGUCAGUUGUUACUAUAUAUUUGUCAUCUAUUGUGAGAGUCGUGAUAUCACCUACCACAUCAGUGAUACUGAGAAGGAACAAAUCUGCCAAAGAUGCUUCACAGUUAGUUGUUACAUUUUUAAGAAGACUGUGCUUGAAAAUUAUGGUAAAACACAUUUAGAAGAAGGAUGUGCAUUUUCACAUCAGUCUAUGAAGUAUAACGACAUUUAAAUUAAAAUGCUGUUCUUCAAAAUUAAUUUUUCCUGUUUUAAUUCCAAGUUUUCUUGUACAGGGGAGAAGAGGUAAGGGGUAGCUCUAAUGUGUUGGCUUCAUUCACAGAAGAAACAUUUUUAUAAACAGUUAAGUGAUGCCAGCUUUCUGUUGAUGCCAUCAGAUCUUGCAAGCAAAAAAUAAGUUAAUUUCAAUAUCAGUUGAUAUUAUUUCAUUCAACCUAUGUAAUAAAGACU
Long non-coding RNA from Gorilla gorilla gorilla (western lowland gorilla), 670 nucleotides. RefSeq lists it as uncharacterized. Lineage: Eukaryota; Metazoa; Chordata; Mammalia; Primates; Hominidae. The transcript has 3 exons. The record is from RefSeq and is a predicted model, not a curated record.